Molecule: ribosomal RNA, 449 nt
Filed under: uncultured bacterium
Lineage: Bacteria
Description: partial 16S ribosomal RNA
Rfam family: Bacterial small subunit ribosomal RNA
Source: RNAcentral
AGCGAACGCUGGCGGCAGGCCUAACACAUGCAAGUCGAACGAAGUCUUCGGACUUAGUGGCGGACGGGUGAGUAACACGUGGGAACGUGCCUUUAGGUUCGGAAUAACUCAGGGAAACUUGUGCUAAUACCGAAUGUGCCCUUCGGGGGAAAGAUUUAUCGCCUUUAGAGCGGCCCGCGUCUGAUUAGCUAGUUGGUGAGGUAAAGGCUCACCAAGGCGACGAUCAGUAGCUGGUCUGAGAGGAUGAUCAGCCACAUUGGGACUGAGACACGGCGCAAACUCCUACGGGAGGCAGCAGUGGGGAAUCUUGCGCAAUGGGCGAAAGCCUGACGCAGCCAUGCCGCGUGAAUGAUGAAGGUCUUAGGAUUGUAAAAUUCUUUCACCGGGGACGGUAAUGACGGUACCCGGAGAAGAAGCCCCGGCUAACUUCGUGCCAGCAGCCGCCGUAA